Molecule: ribosomal RNA, 497 nt
Filed under: uncultured bacterium
Lineage: Bacteria
Description: partial 16S ribosomal RNA
Rfam family: Bacterial small subunit ribosomal RNA
Source: RNAcentral
GAUGAACGCUGGCGGCGUGCCUAAUACAUGCAAGUCGAACGAACAGACGAGGAGCUUGCUCCUCUGACGUUAGCGGCGGACGGGUGAGUAACACGUGGAUAACCUACCUAUAAGACUGGGAUAACUUCGGGAAACCGGAGCUAAUCCCGGAUAAUAUAUUGAACCGCAUGGUUCAAUAGUGAAUUACGGUUGUGCUGUCACUUAUAGAUGGAUCCGCGCCGCAUUAGCUAGUUGGUAAGGUAACGGCUUACCAAGGGAACGAUGCGUAGCCGACCUGAGAGGGUGAUCGGCCACACUGGAACUGAGACACGGUCCAGACUCCUACGGGAGGCAGCAGUAGGGAAUCUUCCGCAAUGGGCGAAAGCCUGACGGAGCAACGCCGCGUGAGUGAUGAAGGUCUUCGGAUCGUAAAACUCUGUUAUUAGGGAAGAACAAAUGUGUAAGUAACUAUGCACGUCUUGACGGUACCUAAUCAGAAAGCCACGGCUAACUACGUG